AAGACGUGUGACUGAGAAGCCAGAAGAUGGAAUAAAUCUGACACUGACUGGAGGUUCAGCAUUUGAAACGAUGGAGGCCAUCUGAGAAGAUCAUUUGGAUUUGAACCAAUGUGAUUCUGAAGUGACUAUGAAUAACAACCACUGAUUAAAAUAUAUGUGGACCAUAUUAAUAUGUUAAUUAUGCGGCUUUAAAAAGAAGUGGUUAAUAUGGGCUGGGAUUUUAAAAGGCUUCCCAGAAGAGGUGAGAUUUGGAUGAAGAGUCAGAUAUGGACAGAAGGUGGACCAAAUGCAAGACUACCAGAUUGCUAAUUGGAAUCUUAGUAACCGUAUUGGCUACAAUAUAACCCAAGGAACUUUGGUUUGAGAAAAGGCUGGCACCAAGUUCAAGAUUUUCUUCACCAUGACUUGCUUCACCACUUAACGCCCAGGCCUAAUACAGAGUCUGGCACAUAGUACAUACUCAGAAAUAUUUGUUGAAUAAAUAACACGUGAAUGAAUGAAGUUACGAGAGGAGAGAAUUCUUUCCAACCUUCAUCACAUCAGAUCUUAAGUUGUACUGACCAAAAAGUGAAAUGGGGAGAGAAGCAGAUGCAUAGAAAAGUGAAGAAGUCAAUGUUCUUUUCUCUACUCCAAAGUUUCAUAAGACUUAUAAUGUCUCCUCCCAGAAGGAGGGUCCCAGACUUCUCAGUUUGUUUUUAUCUGGAGGGAAGACAGAAGAAGACAAGAGAGUGUUUUCUGUUCACUAUUGUUGGUGCUACCCACUAAUAAAAACUACAAACAUUUCAGCAAAAAGUUAACAAUUUUUAAAUAGUGUAUCCAAAAAAAAAAAAAAAGAAAAGAAUUGGACAUUCCUACAUUUACUGCUGCAACCUUCCAUUUCUUCUCCAUGAGCACAUUCCUAAUAUCAUUAGGAUACAUCCAUAGCAGGUACACCCACUAAAAAGAAAGAGCAGGACAGCAUUACAGCCCCGAGCAACAGAGUAUGAAAGCUGAUGACAAGGACAGUGAGCCAGACCACCUGAUGUCAAGUCCCUCAUCCACUGUUUCCUAACGGUGAUGAAGUGUGUUUUUUGGAAGGUGAGGAUGGAAGGUGAGGACUUUGCUUGCCAAGAAACUUCAGGGAAUUUUCUGAACAUAUGCAAAAGCGAAAUUACAAAGAUCAUAUUCUUCACAACUUUGUUCAAGUGCUUAAAAGAAGUUACACUGAGAAUGUAAACUAGAAAGAUUGGUGAAGGCUGGAAUGCUGAGUGAACAAAAAUGGGCUUUUAUGUAAUAGGCAAUGCAUUUACUGCUUGGUAAUGUCCACAGCUUCUAUAUCAACUUACCUGAUCCCUGGUGUGUCUAUUAAAGUUUUCCUCAUUAUACAACUAAUGCAGUGUUCUCACAUGCUAGAUGCUCCACUUAGAGGAAUACAAACAAAUUGAAGCUGAUUUAACCAGCACAUACUACCCAGCAGCUGAGAAACCUUCAUGAAACAAGGAUUAAUUGUUUGUGGCACAGUAUAUGACAAUAACAACAACAACUCAACAAAUCUACCAUAGGAGAAAUAGAAGAUACCUAUUAAGGAUAGCCAUAAUGCCAGUUGAUUUUCAUCAUUAAGAGAUCUUCAAAUGAUAGAUGAAUUUUCAAAGCCUUCAGAGAAAGUAUAUAUUGAACUUAAUGUAGCUUGAUUGUUUCAAUCAAAUGCCCAUUCUUGAGGAAAAAGCAUUUGAAAUACACUCAGAAUGCAGACUCACAUGCUGACGAUUUGUGUUUUCCCCACAACAAUCAUCUGAGAUUCAGAUCUCCGCUGUUUCACAUGUACUUUCCUCGAGAGACCGUCCGGCUCACUGCAGAAGGCACUGGAACCUUCAAUAGUGGGAGCUGCGGGCUCUCACCAGGAAGCAGUCUUUCACCUACAGUUUUGCUCUGCCUCUCACCCUUGAAAUCAACUUUGGUACAAGCAUGAUCUUCAGCUAUCAGACCCCAUCGAACAUCUGUAA
Molecule: long non-coding RNA, 1982 nt
Organism: Neogale vison (American mink)
Lineage: Eukaryota; Metazoa; Chordata; Mammalia; Carnivora; Mustelidae
Exons: 12
Source: RefSeq, a predicted model, not a curated record